This 1923-nucleotide long non-coding RNA is filed under the name Felis catus (domestic cat). Its description in RNAcentral is "lncRNA (ENSFCAG00000045817.2)". Lineage: Eukaryota; Metazoa; Chordata; Mammalia; Carnivora; Felidae. The record is from RNAcentral.
CCCUUACACCUGCUUGCCGAUCCCAGGGACGUGAUCUUAGGGACGCCGGUCCGUCUGAGCGGUGUCCCCGGGAGGCCGCGAGCCUCAGCACGUCCCCGGGGCCUCGGGGCCGCGUCUCUGUCCACCUCUGCCGAGCGACCUCUGCUGAGCGACCUCCGGGUUUGUGACCAGCGGCCCCGUUUGCCCUGCACACACAUGGGCUCUGGUGCAGAGUGAGUCAGGAGCCAGGGAGGUGGGGUGCCUCUGACACCAGCGGGGCCACACCAGCCCCUCUGUGGGGACAGCCCUCACCCCACUGUAAGCAACCCUGAGCGGAAGCCCAGUGCUGGCUCCCAGAAAGGAGCCGGGUGGGGAGGGAGCCUCAGGGGCAGAUCUGUCCCGCGUCCCAUGGCCUUGGGGCCCCGGGCAGAGGCCCUCACGCCCCCCCAUUUCUGAUCCCAGACCCACAGUGUCUUUUCCCUGGUUCUCCAUGGCUUUCCUGGGUGUGGGAGUCCCGGGACGGAGGGGGCCGGGUGGGGGUACCCUCAGAGCGCCUCCUCCCCCCGCGCCAGCAGCAGGGGGCGCUCGAGCUCAAGAAAGUGCCCACGAGGCCUAAACAAGCGUCUUUCCUAGAUAAAGCUAAGGAGGCCCAGCCCUGUGCCCCUCUGUUCGCUGGCGGUGGUGAUUACCCGCGGGACCCAGGCCUCUUCCGGACGGGCAGGUCCACGAUCAUCGCUGUGGCAGGUCCUCUGUGCCCCGAAAACCGUAGCCAAGGCCUCCAGCCAGAAGGAAUCAUGCCGGAUGCCAACCAUGAACACAAAAUGCUUUCGGAUCGUCUAACACGCAAGGGAAUUCGGUGUGGCCCCCCGGCCACCCAACAGCUUCGUGGCUGGGUGCUGUUUUCCCCACGACGCCUUCCAGCUUUUGGUCCCUGUGAGCUGUGAGGCCAGCAGCCACGGAGCGGGCAAGACCCAGGAGGAAGGAGACACGGGCUGCAGGUACCCCCGGGGGCAGGAAGGGGGCAGGCAGCCCACAGACCCUGUCACCCUCUAUGGUGAAUGUCCAGCUGUCACCCCUGGGCCCUGGCAUGUUCCCGUAGGGCUGCUUCCUGGUGACCAGGUCUGGGGGGCCAGCGGGGGGUAGGGCUGAUGGAGUGCCAGCCCCAGGGUCGGACCGCCGCCCCCGCCCCUGUAACCCCACCGGCCCUGGCCGAGGACCGGGCCUCUCAUCGUACGUGGGCCCCUGUGAGCAUGGGGUGACCCCUGACGAGGUCACCGUGCCUGCCUUGGCCCCGGCCGCGGCCUGCCUUGAACGGGGCUAAAAACGGCUGCGGCUGCUGGGCACCAGGCGGCCAGCCAGGGAGGCCAGCUCAGGGCGUGGGCGAGGCUGCGGCCUCCGACCCCGGCGCUCAGCUCCUCCUCGAGACUCCCCCUCUGUCCCCAGGGAGCCUCCUCUUCCGGCCUGCAGGUCAUUGGGAACACGUCGCCCGGGGGUUCGGGACCACCACGCACCGAGGCCCCACGGCAGCCAGACCUGCCGCCCCGCCCCGACUACCGUUGUUACGUCUCACGGGCCAUCGCACGGGAGACACGUGGCACUGAAGCUGUUACCAAAUAUUCGACAGCUAAAUUUGCACUGGAGUGAUCUGCCUGCUUUUCUGUAAACACGUCACAGGGGAAGAGGAGUGAUUCCCGCCCCCCUGUGCCGCAGGCAGACUCAGCGGCCUCGUGGGGCCCCGUGGCGCCCCACGCGUCAGGGGGAAGCCCCAAAUCAGUUAGAGCUUAGUGACGGGAAGAGGUCGUCCCUUCCCACCCACAUCCACAGGCCCAGGCGUGUCCAGGAGAGAGUCCCCUCCUCCGCCGUCCCCCCUCCAGGCCCCUGUCUUUCCACGUGCCCACUGAGGUCCUGGACCAGCUCCUUGGAAGUACCUGCUCCGAGUGGCCC